This is a non-coding RNA of Anas platyrhynchos (mallard), 584 nucleotides long. NCBI's taxonomy places the organism in Eukaryota, Metazoa, Chordata, Aves, Anseriformes, Anatidae. The record is from RefSeq and is a predicted model, not a curated record.
CAUCCGCUGGUGGUAGCGGCUGUCCAUCAGGAUGCUGUCGGACUGGCGCCUCGUCAGAAGCUCGGGCACCCCUUCUUCUGGGCUGCCUUCACUGUUCCUGUGAUGCGAAGACGGGAACCGUCUUGGUUUCAGAGGUGCAGAACGGGUAGCUCCAGAUAAGCUGAGCAGCGUGUGAAAUGGGCCUGCUCAUCCUGGGAGGCUGAAACUAAUGUCAGGAAGAAGUAACCCAUCAAAUGACAAAAACAUCGCUUCCUAUUCUCAGCUGUCAAGGGCUUUUCUGCACUCCUCCAGAAUGUCACAGACGGGGACUGUUGGCCUCCAGUUUCUCUAAGCCCCAGUACUCCUGAUGGAGCCACACACAACUGUUUCCUGUGGGUUUCUUUUACUCGAGAGAUGUGGUGGUGGCCCACUUAUCACAAGUGUCCUAAUGGUACAUUACACAGAACUAAGAAGAUUAGAAGCUUUAUUUUCUGCCUAAGUUUGCCACCUUAGAGAUAGGCUGGGACAUAUCUGAGUUCAAAUUUCUUAUCCCGCAUAGCAGACUGAUGACAUAUUAUAAAUAAAUUGACCAUUACUACAUUGUC